RNAcentral lists this ribosomal RNA (253 nucleotides) under uncultured bacterium. Its description in RNAcentral is "partial 16S ribosomal RNA". It matches the Rfam family "Bacterial small subunit ribosomal RNA", at positions 524 to 776 of the family's 1533-position model. The record is from RNAcentral.
GACGGGGGGUGCGAGCGUUGUUCGGAAUCAUUGGGCGUAAAGCGCGUGCAGGUGGUUUUAUAAGUCAGAUGUGAAAGCCUAGGGCUUAACCCUAGAAGUGCAUUUGAAACUGUAAAACUUGAGUAUGGAAGAGGGUCGUGGAAUUCCUGGUGUAGUGGUGAAAUACGUAGAUAUCAGGAGGAACACCGGUGGCGAAGGCGGCGGCCUGGUCCAAUACUGACACUCAUACGCGAAAGCGUGGGGAUCAAACAGG